AACGCACAUUGCACUUCCUGGUAUUCCGGGAAGUAUGCCUGUUUCAGUAUCAUGAACAUACCUCAGGCCAAAAUUCUUUUUUUGGAUCCUGGAUCUAGGCCGAGCCGACCGACCGACCGACCGACCCGCGCGACAGCGCAAAAAGGAAAGAAGGUCGGCCAGCCUGAAACACAUCCCGAUCGCGGAUCCCUCUUUCAGGGAGUGGAAAAAAGAAAAGGCGUUGAUAGUUCGACCUUGGAGUCGAUCUUUUCGCCGAAGUAAAAAAUCCCUCCUGAUCCGCGUCGAUUAGCAGGACUAAUUUUGUUCUUCUUAAACUUGAUCUGAAAUCAGGUAGGAGUACCCGCUGAACUUAA
This 353-nucleotide unclassified non-coding RNA is filed under the name uncultured fungus. Its description in RNAcentral is "sequence contains ITS2". Lineage: Eukaryota; Fungi. The record is from RNAcentral.